ACUCCUACGGGAGGCAGCAGUGGGAAUAUUGCACAAUGGGCGCAAGCCUGAUGCAGCCAUGCCGCGUGUAUGAAGAAGGCCUUCGGGUUGUAAAGUACUUUCAGUCAGAUGAGGAAGGCGGGUACGUUAAUAGCGUGCUCGUUUGACGUUAGCUGCAGAAGAAGCACCGGCUAACUCCGUGCCAGCAGCCGCGGUAAUACGGAGGGUGCGAGCGUUAAUCGGAAUUACUGGCGUAAAGCGCAUGCAGGUGGUUUGUUAAGUCAGAUGUGAAAGCCGGCU
This 279-nucleotide ribosomal RNA is filed under the name uncultured bacterium. RNAcentral's name for it is "partial 16S ribosomal RNA". It matches the Rfam family "Bacterial small subunit ribosomal RNA", at positions 335 to 606 of the family's 1533-position model. The record is from RNAcentral.